UUUGAGGGGAAUGUUGUCUGGCUCGAGGUGCAUGCAGAAACCUUGAUCAGGUUUGAUCUAUAGAUUGAUCUCGGACCAGGCUUCAUUCCCCUCAAG
Molecule: microRNA precursor, 96 nt
Filed under: Leersia perrieri
Lineage: Eukaryota; Viridiplantae; Streptophyta; Magnoliopsida; Poales; Poaceae
Description: pre miRNA mir-166
Rfam family: mir-166 microRNA precursor family
About the family: This family represents the plant microRNA (miRNA) precursor mir-166. Animal miRNAs are transcribed as ~70nt precursors and subsequently processed by the Dicer enzyme to give a ~22nt product.
Source: Rfam by way of RNAcentral